GCUUCUUCUGGACUGAGGCCACCAGGUGU
RNAcentral lists this non-coding RNA (29 nucleotides) under Homo sapiens (human). Lineage: Eukaryota; Metazoa; Chordata; Mammalia; Primates; Hominidae. The record is from RNAcentral.